Molecule: long non-coding RNA, 1319 nt
Organism: Astatotilapia calliptera (eastern happy)
Lineage: Eukaryota; Metazoa; Chordata; Actinopteri; Cichliformes; Cichlidae
Source: Ensembl
AUUUGUGUUUUUAGCCAAAUUGUGUUUUUAUGCUUCUUGGAGUUGUGUAUUUAAUCAACAUGUAUUUUUUGGGGUUUUAAUAAAUUUUGAUUUAAUAACAUGGGUUAGGGGAAAUCAAGUUGGGAGUCCGGUCCCCGAAGGGGGUUAGGGAUGUGGAAUAGGGUUAGGGUUAGGGUUAGGGUUAGGUGUUAGGAAAUGAGCAGGCCCGGCUAUGCCGGAACCUGAGUGCACGGGCCAUCAUUGGGACUGGUGUUGGUGCCCCCUGUUCAAAAAAUUACCCUUAAGCGGGUGUAGUGCACUGGGGUUGGGCCAUUCGCGACGUUUCGGCUUAAUUUAGCCUUCUUCAGGCUGGCCCACCCGCUCUUGUGUUCAAUUUCGCCACUCUGGGCCUUUUAUACUCCUGUUUUUCAUUCCUGUUUUUCUUAACUUUUUCUGUUUCUUAGUUUUUACUUGUUCUCAGUUUUUUCUGCUUCAGCUCUCCCUUUUUCUGUUGUUCUUUGUUCUUUCUGUUUUUCUUUACCUUUCUCUUUGUAUUUCUGUUUUUCUUUAUACUUGUUCUUUAUUCUUUGUUUUUCUUUACCUUUCUCUUUGUAUUUCUGUUUUUCCUUAUACUUGUUCUUUAUUCUUUGUUUUUCUUUACCUUUCUCUUUGUAUUUCUCUUUGUCUUUCUCUUUUUAUCUCUGUUGUUCUUUUUUCCUUUCUGUUGUUCUUUAUUAUUUCUCUUUAUUCCUCUUGUGUUCUUUUCUUUAUUCUUUCUUAUAUUUCUUUAAAUGGCACCCCCUUCUCAUUAGACAUCCCGUCCUUUGUACUGUAUUUUUCUUUUAUGGCACCCCCUUCCUGUAAAUCCUUUCCUUUUGUACUCUGUCUUUUUUCUGACCUUUCUUGUCUUUUUUCUCUUAAUUUAGGUUCUUAGGGCUCCCUUAAGAUUAGGGCUAGAAGGGGAAGGGGAGGGGGGCAAAGGGGUUAGGGUUAGGAAAAGGUAGUGGGUGGGGGGCUCCCCAUAGUUAGGGAGAGAGGCAAUGGGCAGGGGCACCACCAAUCCCAUGAGGCACUGGCUGGUUAGGUGGUAGGAAAUGAGCAGGCCCGGCUAUGCCGGAACCUGAGUGCACGGGCCAUCCAUGGGACUGGUGUUGGUGCCCCCUGUUCAAAAAAUUACCCUUAAGCGGGUGUAGUGCACUGUGGUGGGCCAUUCGCGACGUUUCGGCUUUUCUUAGCCUUCUUCAGGCUGGCCCACCCGCUUUUGUGUUCUGUUUCGCCACUCUGGGCCUUUUAUACUGUUCUUUUCCUUUCUGUUUUUCUUAACUUUUUCUGGUUCUUAG